UACGAAGGGGGCUAGCGUUGUUCGGAAUUACUGGGCGUAAAGCGCGCGCAGGCGGCUAUCCAAGUCAGUGGUGAAAGCCCGGAGCUCAACUCCGGAACUGCCAUUGAAACUGUUUAGCUUGAGGAUGAGAGAGGUGAGUGGAAUUCCCAGCGUAGAGGUGAAAUUCGUAGAUAUUGGGAAGAACACCGGUGGCGAAGGCGGCUCACUGGCUCAUUACUGACGCUCAUGCACGAAAGCGUGGGGAGCAAACAGG
Molecule: ribosomal RNA, 253 nt
Filed under: uncultured bacterium
Lineage: Bacteria
Description: partial 16S ribosomal RNA
Rfam family: Bacterial small subunit ribosomal RNA
Source: RNAcentral